This 30-nucleotide non-coding RNA is filed under the name Rattus norvegicus (Norway rat). Lineage: Eukaryota; Metazoa; Chordata; Mammalia; Rodentia; Muridae. The record is from RNAcentral.
UUGGUGUGCCAUAUAACGGAGGAACAAUGU